RNAcentral lists this ribosomal RNA (465 nucleotides) under uncultured bacterium. RNAcentral's name for it is "partial 16S ribosomal RNA". It matches the Rfam family "Bacterial small subunit ribosomal RNA", at positions 28 to 507 of the family's 1533-position model. The record is from RNAcentral.
GACGAACGCUGGCGGCGUGCUUAACACAUGCAAGUCGAACGGAAAGGCCCCCUUGUGGGGUACUCGAGUGGCGAACGGGUGAGUAACACGUGAGUAACCUACCCUUGCCUUUGGGAUAACUUCAGGAAACUGGGGCUAAUACCGGAUAGGAGCUCCUGCUGCAUGGUGGGGGUUGGAAAGUUUCGGCGGUUGGGGAUGGACUCGCGGCUUAUCAGCUUGUUGGUGGGGUAGUGGCUCACCAAGGCUUUGACGGGUAGCCGGCCUGAGCGGGUGACCGGCCACAUUGGGACUGAGAUACGGCCCAGACUCCUACGGGAGGCAGCAGUGGGGAAUAUUGCACAAUGGGCGGAAGCCUGAUGCAGCAACGCCGCGUGCGGGAUGACGGCCUUCGGGUUGUAAACCGCUUUCGCCUGUGACGAAGCGUGAGUGACGGUAAUGGGUAAAGAAGCACCGGCUAACUACGUG